CGACGUAGGGGGCGAGCGUUGUCCGGAAUUACUGGGCGUAAAGAGCACGUAGGCGGAUAUUUAAGUCAGUUGUGAAAGGCCGCAGCUUAACUGCGGGGUUGCAAAUGAAACUGGGUAUCUUGAGGGCAGGAGAGGUCAGUGGAAUUCCUGGUGUAGCGGUGAAAUGCGUAGAAAUCAGGAGGAACACCAGUGGCGAAGGCGGCUGACUGGACUGACCCUGACGCUGAGGUGCGAAAGCGUGGGUAGCAAACAGGAUUAGAUACCCUGGUAGUCCACGCUGUAAACGAUGGAUACUAGGUGUGGGAGGUAUCGACCCCUUCCGUGCCGGAGCUAACGCAAUAAGUAUCCCGCCUGGGGAGUACGGUCGCAAGGCUGAA
This 377-nucleotide ribosomal RNA is filed under the name uncultured bacterium. Its description in RNAcentral is "bacterial SSU rRNA". It matches the Rfam family "Bacterial small subunit ribosomal RNA", at positions 523 to 898 of the family's 1533-position model. The record is from RNAcentral.